AAACUUGAGCCUUCUCACAUUCAGAGUAUCCCAUUGGGUUCCUUUGCAUGCAUCCUUUGGUAAGGUUGCACAAUGGGUCAAUAUUCUCUAUUUUCUUUCUUUGCACUGGGGCUCUAGCUGCCAGAGGGGAAAAUAGCCACACACAGGGAAAUGGCAUAAGUUAAAAUCAAGCAAGCCUAGUGGGAUGGUAAUGAAUUUCCCAGCAUCCAAGGUUUUUUUUUUUUUUUUUUUUUUUUUUUGCCUCUGGGAUAUGUGAAGCUAGAAAACAAUGCCAUUCAUUCAACAUUUAUACAAAACACACAAUGUAAGCAGUACUGAGCUAAGUACUGGAGGGCAUGCAAAAGUAUGCAAAACAAUCCCUGCACAGGAUUCAUGCCAAGAAGUGCAUUUACCUUGCGACCCUUGAAGAAAUACAUAGGUGAAUAGAAACCCACUCGAAUUUUAAACUAAGCAUGGAAUGAUAUGUUUUAGGAAGCAGGACAAAUAAUGUGCUUUCAAAAUUUAUUUCUAGGUAUUACAAUGUGGAGUGCAUGGACCAGGGAAUAGGGUUCUUGGAGAAGCCUGAUUGAAAAGAGGCACUGCCUGGAUGCCUACACAGCGGAAUCCUAACAAAGAGGCCAGCAAUCUUAUCAGGGAAGUGGGUAACUUUCAGUAGAACUGGCCUCCAAGGAGGACAAAAGGCCCAACCAACUUCAGCUCCUUAACCCGCAUACUUUGCCCAGGCCAGACAGUAGUCUGAGUUGGCCAAAUUCCUCUGUGCACCCCAAACCAGCAUCUUCACACAGGCCGCCUACAUCCUGGAGACUGCCACGUGCGCCUGGGUUCUGGGCUCAAUCCCUAAACAGGCCCAGCGCCUUCAAGGUCGCCAUGGCAACUGAGGGGUUCCUAUCUUUGUCCCUCAGAGCCCAGCCGGGAAGUCCGGACCGCGGCAGCCCCGGCAGCCACCGGGAGGAAGCACUCUUGGCCCCUCCUCAGAGCAGGGGUAGCGCGAUCUUGAGCUGCAGGCGCCACUUUUGCCGCAUCAGUGGCUGCGCGCUCCACUUGGUUUAUCCAGGCUCGGAUCCGGAGCCCAGAGAGCUGCGCUGCCUUUAUCUUCACCUCUGUCGCCACCCGGCGGGCAGCUCCUCCAGGCAAGACGGGCGAUCGAUCUUCUUUCCCCGGCUUUACGGAUUUCCGGGGGCAAAGAAUUUUGCCUCGGUCCCUAAGAGCAUCUCUCAGCCUCAUUCCCCCUCCCCUUGCGACUCCCCCACGCUGUGGGCGCGCGCGCGCGCACAGACACUCACACUGGCAGGCGCGCGUGCGCACGCCCGCGCGCCCCGAGCCGCGGAGUCUCCAGCGCCCCUGAGCAGAUCCCACUCUCCCGGGCGCCGCUACUCACACAGGCUUCCAGCCGCCACGGGGCGUCCUCUGUCUGCGGCAGCGGCGACGGUGGCGGAGGGAAAGGCGUCUGCAGCCUGGCCCCGACUGGCAGCUUCGUGCUUGGGACAGAGUCCGGGAGAAGCGGAGAAGAAGGAGGACGCCAAGGCGAGGAGGAGCCGCGCCGCACCCGGCGCUCGGCUUUGCGCGGCGGGCUGCCUUCGCUCCGCGUACCGCGGCCCCAGAAUUUUGAAAGCGGCUUAA
This 1620-nucleotide long non-coding RNA is filed under the name Ictidomys tridecemlineatus (thirteen-lined ground squirrel). RNAcentral's name for it is "lncRNA (ENSSTOG00000034968.1)". The record is from RNAcentral. Lineage: Eukaryota; Metazoa; Chordata; Mammalia; Rodentia; Sciuridae.